UGCCAGCCGCCGCGGUAAUACGGAGGGGGUUAGCGUUGUUCGGAAUUAUUGGGCGUAAAGGGCGCGCAGGCGGUCCUGUCGGUCAGGUGUGAAAGCCCGGGGCUCAACCCUGGAAGUGCACUUGAAACAGCAAGACUUGAAUACUGGAGAGGAGAGAGGAAUUCCUGGUGUAGAGGUGAAAUUCGUAGAUAUCAGGAGGAACACCGAUGGCGAAGGCAUCUCUCUGGACAGAUAUUGACGCUGAGGCGCGAAGGCGUGGGUAGCGAACGGGAUUAGAUC
This 279-nucleotide ribosomal RNA is filed under the name uncultured bacterium. Its description in RNAcentral is "partial 16S ribosomal RNA". It matches the Rfam family "Bacterial small subunit ribosomal RNA", at positions 506 to 784 of the family's 1533-position model. The record is from RNAcentral.